This is a long non-coding RNA of Cyprinus carpio carpio, 5082 nucleotides long. NCBI's taxonomy places the organism in Eukaryota, Metazoa, Chordata, Actinopteri, Cypriniformes, Cyprinidae. The record is from Ensembl.
UAUGACUGGUUUUGUGGUCCAGGGUCACAUAUAUUACUAGCAUAUUGGCUGUUUAUUAGUACUUUGUGUUUUUUGUUAUUUCUGUUUUUGUGAAUGUUUUAUUUCAGUUUUAGUUAUAAAGUUAUAGUUUAGUUAUAUAGUUUUAACUAUAAUAACCCUGGGCUGUUCAGUUGAUUUGAACAUUUCGACACACUUACGGUGUCCAAAAAUGCUAUCAAGGUAGCCUUGAGAGCUUUUCCACACUAUAAAGCACAAUAGGUUUUGAAGCACAGUCUGUUUAUUGCUCAGUUGUGUUGUCUGUUGUGUGUCAGUGUAAAUUUCAAAAGGACGAGCUGUGUGAUCUGUGAGAGGUGGUGCAGCGAUGGCAGCAGGAGGUGCAGGAGCAGAAGGAGAGCCGGGUAAAGGAGGUGCAGGCCCUUAAGGAAGAGCUGCAGAGCACACAAAGUUGUCUGCAGCAGCACAGAGAUACAGCCCACAGACAGCAGAGAGACACGGAGGAUGAGGUCUCCUGCAGGGCGGCAGCUCUCCGCAGUCAGGAUACAGAGUUGAUUCAACUAAAGGCAGGUCUGCUGGAGGCUGAGAAACUAGACACAGAGGCACGACUGCAACCUCUUACCGAAUCCCUAGAGCUCUGCCAACACAAGUACCAGGCCUGCCUCAGCAAGAUCACACAACAAGAGAACACUCUGCAUAGCCACGAGGAGGACCUGAAAGAGGCCCACAAUCAGAGGGAAGAGCAGGUCCUCCGUCUGAGGGCUCAGGUUGUAGCUCAGCAGGUACACUGCGCCCAGCUGGAGAGUGGAGACGAUGCCCUCACCGCUCUGAGCCAGCAGCUCCGAGACACGCUGGGAGAACUGGAGCACAGUCGUAAACACAGCCAGGAGUGUGAGCUGCUCAUCAGCACUCUCAGAGACACUGCUGCUACCCGUCUCUGACAGAGGUGCAGCGACUGCAGGAGCAGGUGAGAAAGCUCCAGGUGGAUGCAGCAGAUGAGGGCUGGAGACAAGCACAAGUUGAUUCUCUGGAACAGAAGGUAGCUAGUCUGGAAGGAGAACUACUGGCAGCUCAAAGGCAGUGUGACCAGGCUAUCCAAAAGAGAGACGCCCUACUUAGACAAUCCGAGGCUGAUCUUCUGCAGGCGUGGGAGAAGAUCCGAAGCAAGGCGGCGGAGGCAGAGAGACAGGCCGUCUCUGCUCGAGGGCUAGAAGCUGAUCUGUAGAAACCCAAGAAAGAGAAAAGGCGAAGGGAGAAAGAGUGCGCCUCACUCAAAACACAGAUGCUUCAGCUCAGAGAACAACUGAAGGAGGCUUACACCACCCGUAGAGACAUGGGAGCUGACGCAGCAGCAGGAGAAAGUGCAGCUGUUGGAGAGAGGCCAGUGUCUGGCUCAGGAGCAGCUCUCAGAGAGAAAGCUCAGAGGAGACUCCAGGCAGAGCUCAAGAGAAUAACAGACAGUCUGGAAAGCACCCACCAGGAGCUACAGGACUCACGGAGGCUGCUGGAGCGUGUGAAGACAGAGGCCAGCAGCAGCAGACAGGAAGCCCUGAGACUCCGGCAGGAGAAACAGCAGAUCCAGGAAGAGCUGGAUGUCAACAGAGAGACCCUCUCAGCCCUGAAGACUAAAGCCGGGUGUGUGAGGGGCGACUGGUGGAGCUGCACACCCAGCAGCAGAUGACAGCCCUGCAGGCCAGAGACGAGGAAGUGCUCAUGCUAAAGAUGUGACAGCUCCUGACUUCACAGGGAAAGCAAGCUUGUCGUGACCAACGUGAACCAGUGGAUGAAGGAGCAAAGGCACACUAAUGAGAAACUGGCACUCAAGAUCAAAGACCAGAGCAGGAAGAUCAUCCACCUGACAGCUGAGAGAGAUCAUCUUCAGGAGAAUGUGAAGGGUUUACAGAGAGAAAUCAGGAGGCUGAAAGCAGAGCUAGAUAAGCAGAGCGACUGAAGAGAGCAUAAGGCUCGACUUAAAACCUUGAUGAACUGUUCAAGAAUGAGAGUGCUCGUUAUAUCUGGGGAAAGUGCCAUUGAAUUCGUCGGUAGCCUUUGACCUUUCAUCUUCCACGCAACAGUGCUCAGACCUUCAGUGCUCUCAGAAAUCAAAAGCAGAGGUAGGAAGAAGCUAAAGCCAGCCAAGAAAGAGAAAGAGAGAUGCAGCUAGAAUAGAAUAUUUAUCUGCCAAUGUCAUGUACAUGAGUGUAAUUAUGAUAGACAUGUUUGGAAAUAACAGUUGUUUAGUUAAUUAGAGGAGCCCACUGAAGCAGUAAUGAGCUUGUUCAUGAGGUGGCUGUAAAUAAAAUUGCAUGUUUGUACUUACAGUGAAGAAAGAGGCAGAGGAAGAAGAAAGCACUUCCUGACCACCUGCAGCGCAAGUCUGUGCCAGUCAAUGCCUGUGUCUGGAUCGAAGUCAAUGACUACAGAACGGUUUUCUGCAAACCAGCUGUCUCUUGGAUCACUGACACGAUGAGUUCUAGAAAAACAUGAUUAUCAAAUGAUGGCUGAUAAUUGACCUUACUACAGAUAAAUGACUGACAGCCCAAAUAACAAAUCAAAUCAAUUCUCAGACUUUUGUCUGUCAAACAAAAGUCGCCUGCACUUAACCAACUAAUACUAGUACUUACCUUUUUUUCUUUUUCUUUUCUAUCAUAUUCCAAAAAAAAAAACGAACAAAAAAAAAAACCCUGGCUACGUGUUCUGUACUAGACUAACUGAGACUUGUCAUAGCACUUGUAUACCGUUGUUGUUUUCUCGUUGAUCUGAUUGUUUCUACUGUUCUCAUUUGUAAGUCGCUUUGGAUAAAAGCGUCUGCUAAAUGAUUAAAUGUAAAUGUAAAUGUAAAUGUAAAUGUAAACUGACUGAAUUGUAGAUUGCAUGAACAACUAAACUUCUGAAUGAUUGUCCAAAAGCGAAACAUCUCUAUGUUUGCUCAAAGGAAUAGUAGAAUAUAGAUUUUCAAGGUUAAAGGCAGGUGCACAGACCCCAAGUAGAUCAUGCAUGUGAAUUUUGAUCUUUCUGUUGUUAAUGCCAUGCUAUACUGUCUGAGCUUCAGAAAAGCACAUAAAAAAUCUAUCUUUAAAAUUUGGAAAAAAAAUAUUUAAAACAAUGUUUAUAAUAUUCACAUUUUGUAAAAAGCAGAUGUUUUAAAAAAUAUGUUAUGAGUUUUUUUGUUGUUGUUUUGUUUUGUUUUAUCAUAUGUUCUCAUGUUUACUUUUUUGUAAUGUGUGAAAAGUAUUAAUGUUAAAGGUUUACUAUUUAUCCCUGAUUUUUUUCUCAGAGUGUGAUUUUGGGUUAAUUGUAUUGAUUUAAUUUAGGAUCAAUUGACUCAGAACGUAAUUAUAUCCAGAAUUUUAACAUUAUACAAGUGAUAAAUAGCACUUGUUGUUCUUAAGGACAUUUACAUUCAUAGAAAAACACACACAAAAUGCAUUUGUCCUGUUUGCAUCUGCAGAAAGCAUCCAUUACAUAAUUUUCCUGUUUAUUAAUGUCAGUAUUUAUGACAACAACUGUCUGACUUCUUUACACUUGGCUAGAUUUUCCCUGGUAAUGUCACUAUUUUCUCAUCUUCUACCAUUAUAUUUAGUAUUUCGGCAUAAUAACCUGGAACAAAACCCUGUGCUUUCUGUUUUUUCUGCACAAUGAUUUGAGGUAUUUUAUUCCAAAGUCAUCAGGUGCAUCAUUCGCAUGUACAUCACCUGUUUGAGAAGCAGCGGCAGUGGUUAAGUUAUUGCUGUCGUAAGGUCAGUUGGGUCACUAUACCUUGUUGAUAACUCUUAAACCAGUCUAAGAUGGUUUGCAUGGUCUAAGUUGAUUUAUGAUUAUCUCUCAGCCUGACCAGAUUGCAUGAACAACUAAACUUCUGAAUUAUUGUCCAAAAGCUAAACAUCUCUAUGUUUGCUCAAAGGAAUAGUAGAAUAUAGAUUUUCAAGGUUAAAGGCAGGUGCAGGUCAACUGGUCUCUUCAAGCCUGACCAGCCAAAAAAUAGCUAAAACCAAACUAGGAGACCAGUUAAGACUUUCUUGGUCAAGCAGCUUCACCGGCACUAGAGCAACAAAGAGCAUAAACAAACCUGAACCAGCAUGAGAAUUCAUGACUAAACUGAACUAUUUAUCUGGAUACUCGUCUUAGAAAUGAUGAGAUCUCAUAUGUUGAUGAGACCUGAUUAUUUUCUGAAUAGCUCUGCACUAAGUAUCUGAUGCCCCUCGUGUUCAUUUAUAUACAGACAUCAGCUGCUGAUUUAUUUUUCUCUUUCAAAUUAAAUUUGCUGACAUGCAAUACUUCAUAUUUAAUGAACAUUCCGCUGUGAAUUUUGUGCCUAGUUACAUUUCAAGUUUACGGAGAUGAAUGAGAGUGUGAAUUCUAAUGGCAGGUAAAGUUUCAAUUCUGCUUCUGUCAUAGAUUGUGGUUUACAAAAGUUAAAGGUAAGGCUUGUAUUUGUUUAUGAAUCAAUCAUAUAAUAAUGCCUCAUAUCAGUCAGCCAGCAACAUUAAUAGCACUUUUAAAUGAUUAAAUAAUGCUGUGCCUUAUUCACUGUCAUCAUGCAUUUCCUAUAAACACAAAUCAGUCAAUAAAAGUGAUAUAUGUUUGUAUUUGGCAGCUUUUUUAACUAGUAAGGAUUAAAUGAAAUCAUUUCAGUAGAUGACUAUGAAGACAGUAGCAAAAGCAGAAAAAAAAAUGUCCUUACAUGUCAAGCGCAUGCUGUAAUAUUUCUGUUUCUGAUCACGAUGCUAUUUCGAAUAUUAUCCUCUUGCACAUAUGCAUGUGGAGAGCUUGUUGGUGAAUGAGAGCUUGAAGUGUUCUGAGUCAAUGAGAGUUGAACCCCAAGUGACAAGUUGUGAAAUCAAUAGACAACAGUCAAUACCCAACACUUAAGGUGCCUGUAGAAACUAAAGGAUGCCAAUAAUUGUUAUUAAUACUCCGGUUUUCCCAGAGCACUGUUUAAGGGCAAUUCUAGUGAAACAGACUUCUCAAACACAAUGGUGCCCUGAAGCUAUGCAACCAUAAUCACAUUCAAAACAAGGUUGUGAUAAUGUUGCAAAUAAUGAGGAAGGACUGUGAACAGCAAUGAACAGUAGCGUAAAUAAGUGG